Molecule: ribosomal RNA, 200 nt
Filed under: uncultured Glomus
Lineage: Eukaryota; Fungi; Glomeromycota; Glomeromycetes; Glomerales; Glomeraceae
Description: partial small subunit ribosomal RNA
Rfam family: Eukaryotic small subunit ribosomal RNA
Source: RNAcentral
CCAAUAGCGUAUAUUAAAGUUGCUGCGGUUAAAAAGCUCGUAGUUGAAUUUCGGAAUUGAUGCAUCGGUCGUGCCUUAAGGGGCAUGAACUGGUGUAGCCAAUUUCUCACCUUCUGGUGAAUUGUGAUGUUCUUAAUGGGGUGUCUCAAUGAACUAGAAUUUUUUACUUUGAAAAAAUUAGAGUGUUUAAAGCAGGCAUU